AGGACGCCAACUCAAGCGAGCUCAGCCGUUAAUCCCGCUGAAAUUUACUGCUGCGUGGACAGAGGAGGUGCACAUGCCCAACGUCAGGAAAGCAGCAUUAUGUAAAGGAAGAAAGCAAGGCAAGGGAUCCCAUUUGGCAGGUCUCCUGACACCUACAGGACACUGAAGCCAGGCCCUUCAACAGACGGCGGCAAGGCAGGUAGGAUUCAAACCUAAUAGAGACAAGAGAUAAGAUAAAUUUGCCACUUUAUUCCAUGAACUA
Long non-coding RNA from Bos indicus x Bos taurus (hybrid cattle), 262 nucleotides. The record is from Ensembl. Lineage: Eukaryota; Metazoa; Chordata; Mammalia; Artiodactyla; Bovidae.